Molecule: transfer RNA, 85 nt
Filed under: Felis catus (domestic cat)
Lineage: Eukaryota; Metazoa; Chordata; Mammalia; Carnivora; Felidae
Rfam family: tRNA
About the family: Transfer RNA (tRNA) molecules are approximately 80 nucleotides in length. Their secondary structure includes four short double-helical elements and three loops (D, anti-codon, and T loops). Further hydrogen bonds mediate the characteristic L-shaped molecular structure. tRNAs have two regions of fundamental functional importance: the anti-codon, which is responsible for specific mRNA codon recognition, and the 3' end, to which the tRNAs corresponding amino acid is attached (by aminoacyl-tRNA synthetases). tRNAs cope with the degeneracy of the genetic code in two manners: having more than one tRNA (with a specific anti-codon) for a particular amino acid; and 'wobble' base-pairing, i.e. permitting non-standard base-pairing at the 3rd anti-codon position.
Source: Rfam by way of RNAcentral
GCCUGGGUGGCUUAGUCGGUUGAGCAUCUGACUUCGGCUCAGGUCAUGAUCUCACAGUCUGUGAGUUCGAGCCCCGUGUCGGGCU